CAGCAGCCGCGGUAAUACGGAGGAUCCAAGCGUUAUCCGGAAUCAUUGGGUUUAAAGGGUCCGUAGGCGGUUUAGUAAGUCAGUGGUGAAAGCCCAUCGCUCAACGGUGGAACGGCCAUUGAUACUGCUAAACUUGAAUUAUUAGGAAGUAACUAGAAUAUGUAGUGUAGCGGUGAAAUGCUUAGAGAUUACAUGGAAUACCAAUUGCGAAGGCAGGUUACUACUAAUGGAUUGACGCUGAUGGACGAAAGCGUGGGUAGCGAACAGGAUUAGAUACCCUGGUAGUCCACGCCGUAAACGAUGGAUACUAGCUGUUGGAAGCAAUUUCAGUGGCUAAGCGAAAGUGAUAAGUAUCCCACCUGGGGAGUACGUUCGCAAGAAUGAAACUCAAAGGAAUUGACGG
RNAcentral lists this ribosomal RNA (403 nucleotides) under uncultured bacterium. Its description in RNAcentral is "bacterial SSU rRNA". It matches the Rfam family "Bacterial small subunit ribosomal RNA", at positions 509 to 916 of the family's 1533-position model. The record is from RNAcentral.